AUUCCAGCUCCAAUAGCGUAUAUUAAUGUUGUUGCAGUUAAAAAGCUCGUAGUUGAAUUUCUGGUUAAAAUCUUAGCUGGCUUUGGUCGUUAAUGUUUUAAUCAUCCGUUAGAGAACUAUAACCGUCCUUAACUGGUCAUUAUAGAGAUCUAACAUUUUACUUUGAAAAAAUUAGAGUGUUCAAGGCAGGCAAUCGUCAUGAAUACUAUAGCAUGGAAUAAUGGAAUAGGACUUUGGUUCAUUUUAUUGGUUAUUGAACCUUAGUAAUGAUUAACAGGGACAGUUGGGGGCAUUAGUAUUUAAUUGUCAGAGGUGAAAUUCUUGGAUUUAUUAAAGACUAACUUAUGCGAAAGCAUUUGCCAAGGAUGUUUUCAUCA
Molecule: ribosomal RNA, 377 nt
Filed under: Prostomatea sp.
Lineage: Eukaryota; Ciliophora; Prostomatea
Description: partial small subunit ribosomal RNA
Rfam family: Eukaryotic small subunit ribosomal RNA
Source: RNAcentral